GGCGGAUUAAGACGUUUUUUUUUAGGCGCCCACCCAUUUGAAUCGCUGGGGCAGGAAAAAACAUGGCCCCCUCUUAGGCACCAACAAUUUGAUAUUCGGGGGGGGGGGGGGGGGCUAUGGAUUUUUUCUUGACAAAAUUAUUUUUUUUCACUUUCGGCGAUAGACAAUCUAUUACUUUGGCGACAAGUCGAAACAUUUUUGUUUCUUUCAAUUCUAGCAUUACAUAUUUU
RNAcentral lists this long non-coding RNA (230 nucleotides) under Mytilus galloprovincialis (Mediterranean mussel). Lineage: Eukaryota; Metazoa; Mollusca; Bivalvia; Mytilida; Mytilidae. The record is from RNAcentral.